GACGAACGCUGGCGGCGUGCUUAACACAUGCAAGUCGAACGGAAAGGCCCUGCUUUUGUGGGGUGCUCGAGUGGCGAACGGGUGAGUAACACGUGAGUAACCUGCCCUUGACUUUGGGAUAACUUCAGGAAACUGGGGCUAAUACCGGAUAGGAGCUCCUGCUGCAUGGUGGGCGUUGGAAAGUUUCGGCGGUUGGGGAUGGACUCGCGGCUUAUCAGCUUGUUGGUGGGGUAGUGGCUUACCAAGGCUUUGACGGGUAGCCGGCCUGAGAGGGGGACCGGCCACCUUGGGACUGAGGGACGGCCCAGACGCGUACGGGAGGCAGCAGUGGGGAGUAUUGCGCAGUGGGCGGAAGCCUGUGGCAGCAGCGCCGCGUGCGGGAUGACGGGCUUCUGGUGGUAAACCGCUGUCGCCGGUGACGAAGCGGGAGUGACGGUAAUGGGUAAAGAAGCACCGGCUAACUACGUG
RNAcentral lists this ribosomal RNA (468 nucleotides) under uncultured bacterium. Its description in RNAcentral is "partial 16S ribosomal RNA". It matches the Rfam family "Bacterial small subunit ribosomal RNA", at positions 28 to 507 of the family's 1533-position model. The record is from RNAcentral.